UUGACUCUGGCCUCAAAUCAGGUAGGACUACCCGCUGAACUUAAGCAUAUCAAUAAGCGGAGGAA
This 65-nucleotide ribosomal RNA is filed under the name uncultured Trichosporon. Its description in RNAcentral is "partial 28S ribosomal RNA". The stretch from base 8 to 65 matches the Rfam family "Eukaryotic large subunit ribosomal RNA", at positions 1 to 58 of the family's 3401-position model. Lineage: Eukaryota; Fungi; Basidiomycota; Tremellomycetes. The record is from RNAcentral.